AAAAUAUUACAACUCGAUCAUUGCAAACUUCACUGGCCUCAACACAGGUUAUAAAGCUUUAAGUCAGCAAUCCUUUUAAACUAUGGAGUCAUCCAAAGCAUUGUUCGUUUUAUUCUUGGUUUCUUGCGUCCUUCUCUCGGUCACGGUUUACUGCCAAAAAGCUGAGGAACAGGGGCUUCCUGGUAUUCGCUGGGGAAGACAUUUUCGAGAGGAUGACCGACUCAUUCAGAGAGGUAGCAAAGGAAGGCUUUGGAGAGCAAUGAAUCAAAAAAGAAAGCGUCAUUAUCGAUUAAACGAUGCUGUCCAAGAGAAAGAAUCAUAGAAAAAAAAUUCCUGGAUUACAACCUUCUUGAACAAAAGAGAUCCUUAUUUGCUAAAUACAUUGAGCUAUCGUAAUUACAUUUUUCAGGGAAUAAAAAGAGAUGACUUAAGAAAUAAUAGAAUUGGUUCUGUGGUUAAAGUGCACAUCAAAUCCUCUUGUAAACAACUUCUCAGUACAUGUUUCGUCAGUGAUUAACUUCUAAUGCUAAUGCAGGCGUAUCUGUGUUGUUAUCACCGGUCUAUCGUAUUCCGAUGUUAUCACCAGUCACGAAAUAAAUUGAUGCGUUUG
This 610-nucleotide long non-coding RNA is filed under the name Stylophora pistillata. Its description in RNAcentral is "uncharacterized LOC111323828, transcript variant X2". Lineage: Eukaryota; Metazoa; Cnidaria; Anthozoa; Scleractinia; Pocilloporidae. The record is from RNAcentral.